This is a long non-coding RNA of Gorilla gorilla gorilla (western lowland gorilla), 1508 nucleotides long. RefSeq lists it as uncharacterized. NCBI's taxonomy places the organism in Eukaryota, Metazoa, Chordata, Mammalia, Primates, Hominidae. The record is from RefSeq and is a predicted model, not a curated record. The transcript has 3 exons.
GUGUUCAUAUGGGAUCAGGCAAAAGCAGGUCCUGAAGGCAGGAUCCUGAAGAUCAGGCACCACCUGACAGGGAUGGAUAUAGCAUUACAGCCCCACUCAUGGGUGGCCCUGAAGGACAUUGGGGAAAGGAAUCUUCCCAGUGGGCAGAACAUCUAGCAGGACAUUGGUUGUCUAACUUAAAUGGAAGAAGAAGUCAGAAGUGCAUAUCUAUACUGAUUCAUAGUCACUGGACAAUGAUUUGGCCAGAUGGUCAGAGACAUGCUAGAAACAAGAUCAGAGAAUUAGAGACAAGGAAGUUUGCGCAAGAGAUAUAUGGCCAAACCUCUUAGAAUGCACAGCGUGAGAUAAAUUGAUAUCUUACAUGAACGUUUGCCAGAGGGAGCCCAUGGUAGAAGAGGAUCUCACUAACCAAAUGGACAACAUGACUCACUGUGUAGAUCUCAGUGAACUACAUCUGAGGAGUUUGUGUACAAUGUGGUCAUGGUGGCAGGGCUGGAGAUUAGGCAUCCAUGGAUAUUGCCACUGUGCUGAUCUGACUACCACUACCACUGCAGAGUAUCCAACUUGCUAACUACCAUUUAGCACCAUGCCCUGAAGGGACCAGCCAAUCUCCUAGUGGCUCAUUGAUUGCACUCGACUCCUUACAUCAUGGAGAGGGCAGUAAUUUAUCCUCUUUGAAGUAGACAUUCUGAAUAUAGAUUUGCCUUUCCUGUCCACCAUGCAUCUAGCAUCUCCAUCCAUGGAUAUUUUUUGUGUCUUAUUCACCAUCAUGUUAUUCCUUACAAUGUUGCAUCUGGCAGAAAUUUAUUUGACAGCAAAAAGAAUUCUCAAGCACCUGACGCAUCACCUCUGCAGUGCAUCCCUUUCCAGAAGUCCACUUUCCUGAUUCACCACCAGUUGAAGUUUUAACAAUGGAAACACCAUCUGUGCAAGGUGUCCACAUUGCUAGCUGGGCGGUGAAUGAUUCAGCUCCAAAAUCCCAUUUGAUUGCCUGCUCUUUCCAGACACAACUGCAGCAAACUGGAUUGUCUAGACACAGAUGAUGAGACAGAGUUUAGGGUGCAAGAAGCUAACUAGGGAUCAACACCUGUGUAAGGAAGCAGGCAGAAGCACAAUUGAAGUUGAGGAAGAUGAAGAGGUUGAACUGCCCUGCAGGCCAGAUAGAGCCUUGCCAAACCAGUGGGGAACUCGGAGGAAGUCCUGCCUGCCAGUUUCCCAUGUGGAGCCGAAACAGUCGUGCUUUUAUCUCUCCACCUUGCUCAGUCACCAGAUGCAGGCCACGCCCAGAAGGGCAUGUUUUUCUCUGCAGCUCAGACUGAUGUUGAGGAGCUGGGAGCUGGAAGCCACCUGCUGACUGCACUCCCUGCAGCUGGUCAGCCCAUCCUUCUCGAGGGGCAUCUGAAUGGCAUCUUCAUCAGGUCUACAAUUUUAUGUACAUGCCACAUUCUGGGCUUUCCCACUUUGAAGCAAUUAUCAGUUAUGAAUGUUAGGAACACUUUGUACAAGUU